RNAcentral lists this transfer RNA (85 nucleotides) under Acidobacteria bacterium 13_1_20CM_3_53_8. Its description in RNAcentral is "tRNA-Arg". It matches the Rfam family "tRNA". From Rfam's summary of the family: Transfer RNA (tRNA) molecules are approximately 80 nucleotides in length. Their secondary structure includes four short double-helical elements and three loops (D, anti-codon, and T loops). Further hydrogen bonds mediate the characteristic L-shaped molecular structure. tRNAs have two regions of fundamental functional importance: the anti-codon, which is responsible for specific mRNA codon recognition, and the 3' end, to which the tRNAs corresponding amino acid is attached (by aminoacyl-tRNA synthetases). tRNAs cope with the degeneracy of the genetic code in two manners: having more than one tRNA (with a specific anti-codon) for a particular amino acid; and 'wobble' base-pairing, i.e. permitting non-standard base-pairing at the 3rd anti-codon position. Lineage: Bacteria; Pseudomonadati; Acidobacteriota. The record is from RNAcentral.
GCGGACGUGGCGAAAUUUGGAAAACGCACCUGACUUCUAAUCAGGUGGUGAUUUCACCUUGUGGGUUCGAGUCCCACCGUCCGCA